GAGUUUCAAACAUUUUGGUUUGUCUUUUUCCAGUCACACAGGUAUGCAGCCGCCUCAGAACAGCCAGCGGAAGAAUUCUCCAGAACGCAGCCUGAUGUUCCGAACCAAGGAUAUAAACAGAGGGAGCCGGGGGAGGAAGGAGGGAAGAGACAGAGUGAGAGAAAGAGGAGGAAGGCCCAGAGGUGCGGCUGCUGCGCCCCCGCCUCUCUGCGCGGACGCGUUCUGGCGCUCCAGCGCCACCUCGCCGUUCUACAGACCGCCCGGCGUGAUGCCCAGCGCUCCUCCCAGGAGCUGCGAGACGCCAACGAGAAGAUCACGUCGCAGCUCGCCCAGAGACUGAACGUCAGCAAGCAGUUAUCACAGACGCUGACCUCUGACCUGGCGGGUGUAGAACAGCAGAAGAAGGUGCUGGAGAUGGAGCUGGAGCAGUGGAGGCAGAUCCACAGGACCAACACCCCCCAGCAGCUCCCCUCUACCGCCCCCCAGCCCUGCUGUCCUCAAAGCCCUGGAGGCAGAGGUCAAACAGCUCCACACUAAACUGAAGAGCUCCAAGGCGGAGGUGACGAGGCACACGUCGGCUAACAAAGCCCUGCGAGCCCAGCUGCUGGAGAGAGAGAAGCUUAGAGAACUGCAGGAGAAGUCAGUACAGAGACCUGCGCUCUCUCUCUCUCUCUCUCUGUUUCUCUCUAUCUCUCUCACUCUUUCUUUCUCACUUUGUUUCUCUUUCUCUCACUCUCAUUCUCUGUCUGUCUGUCUGUCUGUCUGUCUGUCUGUCUGUCUGUCUGUCUGUCUGUCUGUCUGUCUGUCUGUCUGUCUGUCUGUCUGUCUGUCUGUCUGUCUGUCUGUCUGUCUGUCUGUCUGUCUGUCUGUCUGUCUGUCUGUCUGUCUGUCUGUCUCUGUCUGUCUGUCUGUCUGUCUGUCUGUCUGUCUCUGUCUGUGUUUCUCUCAUUCUCUAUCUCUCUCUGUUUCUCUCUCUCUCACUCUUUCUCACUUUGUUUCUCUCUGUUUCUCUCUCUUUCUCUCACUCUCAUUCUCUGUCUGUCUGUCUGUCUGUCUCUCUUUCUCUCUCCGUUUCUCUCUUGCUCAUUCUUCCUCCUCUCUGUCCCAUCUGCAGUGUUUGAUUCCACCGUGUGGCUGCUCUCUGACUGCUGCCCUGCUCUCCAGCUCAGCUCUGAAUAGUCUCUGGGGGGGUUUUCUGUUUGUGUGUUGGUGCAUUCGUGCGUGUUUAUCUGUGUGUGUGUGUGUGUGAUUUUAUUUUUCUGCGUGUGUGUUAAUGCCAUGUAUGUUGUGUGUGUGUGCCCUGUCGUUCAUUGUGUGUUGAGAUAAGAUGGAGGGUUUUGAUCAAAGAGAAGGUUAUUGAUCCAGUGUGUGUGCCGCAGGAAGGAUCAACUCUGCUCCUCGUGACACAAAAACCCACACAACACCACAGUGGCCCCCGGGCCCUCUGUUAAUGACUUACAUAGUUGAAAGAAGUGAAACUACCAAGCUGUGAUCGAUGAGCAUGUAACAUGUUUAGAGGUCUCGGCAAUUAUCAACUUAUCAAACUUUACAUUUAUCUUCUCAAACAAAGGCAGAAUGGACUGACUUGUUUAUUUCUCUCUCUCUCUCUCUCUCUGCCCAAUAUGAUACUGUAGUUCACUGUUUUCCUUUCAUCUUCUAUAAUACAUCCAACAUGUGUGUUCAGUGUGUACAGCGAUUACAGUGGUGUUGUGUGUGUGACCAAAGCGCGGGCAGAUCACAGCCGAGACAGAGCGAAGAUCCCUCAGCCGGUUUCCGUGACAACGUCCCUCAUAUCCAUUGGUCCCUUCUUCUUCUAUCGCCAUGGCGCUACCCUAGCACCUCGCCACAUCCUCGACGGGGUGUGCUUCUCUCAGAAUGAAAGACAUGUCUCUACCAGACGUCUCUGAAAUAUACAUCUCAGUACACACCAAGGGGCCAGGCAGGCUGCUCCUCGGCAACAAAAAAAAGUGAAUUUCAAAGUAAGAGUGCAUGUCCUCAGUCAAUAUCUGUCAUCCAGGCCCCUGCUUUAUUUAUGAACCUACUUCUUUCAUCUCCAGCGAUCCUGUUGUCUGUCUGUCUGUCUGUCUGUCUGUCUGUCUGUCUGUCUGUCUGUCUGUCUGUCUGUCUGUCUGUCUGUCUGUCUGUCUGUCUGUCUGUCUAGCAGAGACACAUCUAUGUUUCGACUUCUCCUUUGUUUUUUAACACAUACUGCUGUCUGUCGAACACUUUAAAGUGUGAUUAUCACGGACGCAUGUUUGACGAGUGAUAAAGUGGAAAAACAGGAGAUAAAAGAAACUAACAGUGGGGUGAAAAUGUUAGUGAUCAGGAUAUAGGCUCCGAGUCGAGUCUCUCGACUGACACUUCAUAAAUACAAAUCACUCUCUCUCUCUCUCUCUUGCAGAAGAAUAAGUACUACUAUAGUAGCUAUCCCCCAUUCUUUUUCAUCCUUUGUUCAUCCUCUGUUCAUCUAAAAUACAUGUUCCUGACGUAAUUAGCAUUAUUAGUGUUGGGGAUGAACAGAGGGAGCUGUGUGAUGUGGCUGGGCUUCUCUCUAACGCUGCUGCUCUUAAAGUCAACAGAGACCGACAUCCUAAAGGUUCAAUAUGGCUUUUCUCAUUAAUGGUUCAAUCCAUUGGGGUAACCAGGGACCCUAUGCAGCAGGUCCCCCCGGCCAGACUCUCCUCUCUCAUUUAAUUUAAUGUCACUCCAAUAAGACAAGCUCUCAUUUAUUUGGCCCAGUCUGCCCCCAGGCUAACGGCUCUAUCGAGGGAGACAGGGACAUUUACUUACACAAAAAUAUCAAAGGCACUUGCCCCUGGGUUGCGUCAUCUGUUUAUUUAGAAUCGAAGCCUAGUCCGUAAUAUGUGCAGGCCGAGAGGAGAAACAACAAAACAUAUUUUGCAAUGUAAACCUGAUUAAUUAAAAGGAAACACAUCGGAUCUUUAAUUAUAUCAUUCCAUUUGUUCUUCCGAUUCCCCUCCAGCGGGACCCCAGAAGGCCAUGAAGUCGGUAAUAUUUGCCUUUAUGUGAAAAAAACCGGAGCAAAACAUGUAAAGAGAAUAAACAACACGCUAAGCCGUUUAACUGAAAGAGUCUUUUAAGAUGAGGCUCUAAAGAGUUACGAGAAUAUUAAGCGUGUCGGGGAGAGGUUUGGAAAUGUGAAGUGACACGUCAUACAUUUUAGACACACACACAGCCAAGCCGUUUCAACAGCGGGCCCCCAGUGUCUCUCUAUCUAGUUACUGUCAGAAUAGUCAACUAGUCAAGUAAACAAACUCUUUUGGAGAUGAUUCCCCUCUGGAUCGUUAUCUACAGAACCAUGUCCCCCUCCCCAGUCGAAUGGGUUUUCAUGUGGCGAGGACAGUAGUGGAACAAAUACAUCAACAACUGUGUCUCUUUUCAUGCUAUUUGGAUGUGUUGAAUUGCAUCUAUGUUAGUGUAGAUCAGACUGUUACUGCAGUCUGGAUGUUAGUGUGUCUCAGAAGAUUUAGAAGGUCAUUUGUCAGAAAUGUUCCACAACUGAUGUUGCACAACAUGCAUAGACAUUCCCCACUAGUCUAGGAAUCAGGAAUGUAUGCAGUCUACAAAUGGGAUAUUAUACAGCCAUUCCUAUUUUCUGCAGCAUCCCCUAUCAGCAUGGGAUUGUCAAUAUAUUUAGUUGUCAUAAUGAGAUGUGAUGGAAGGGGAGCGUGGGGACACGGUGUGUGUGUGUUUGUGUGUGUGUGUGUGUGUGUGUGUGUGUGUGUGUGUUUGUGUGUGUGUGUGUGUGUGUCUCAUUCCCAGGGUGAUCCACACAGAGAGAGAUGUGCACAUGAAGAGGCAGCUGGUGGAGGACGUGAAGACCAGGAUGAAGUUCUUCCUGGAGACUGAGAAGACACACAGAGGACUGGUGGAGGAGCUGGAGAAGAAAGUAGGUCUCAGUUAACAUCUCACACCACAUGGUUUAAUCACACGCAACAAUGACUUAGCAUAAUCAGA
Molecule: long non-coding RNA, 3978 nt
Filed under: Salmo trutta (river trout)
Lineage: Eukaryota; Metazoa; Chordata; Actinopteri; Salmoniformes; Salmonidae
Description: lncRNA (ENSSTUG00000021079.1)
Source: RNAcentral